AUGUAUCUCGUUUUGGUGUCUCUCUUGGUGCUCCUCCGGUUACGUGUGAGCGUGAUAGCUAGCGCCGAUUUCUUCCUUUGCGUCGUCCGUCGAUGUGUGCGUUUCUUCUUCCGGACGGCAGCUGCUCCACCGUUGUCGCACAGACGAAAGCACGGCGUGCGUGCGUGCGCCGUGCGGGCCGUAUUGAUUUGGGGUCAAGGGAGUAGGCGGUGCGGCGGUGGUCACACACACUCCCACCGGACCGCCGGUGUGGACGGAAUGAACUGGAGCAACAGCCGUCGCUCGCUGGCUCGCGGGCCUAUUGAAUGA
Molecule: ribosomal RNA, 309 nt
Filed under: Triticum aestivum (bread wheat)
Lineage: Eukaryota; Viridiplantae; Streptophyta; Magnoliopsida; Poales; Poaceae
Description: partial small subunit ribosomal RNA
Source: RNAcentral